UACCUGUAGGGGGAGAAGAGCAGUGUAGACUGGAAGGAUCUGAACCUGGUUCUGCCCGGUUUGGAGUAUCAUAACAACACCUGGACCUGGCUGGACUUUGCUAUGGCUGUGAAGAGAGACAGUCGUAAGGCACUGGUCGCACAGAUGAUAAAGGAGAAGCUGCGGUUGAAACCCGCCUCGGGCUCAGAGUCUCGAGGUAAAGUGACGGAUGGGAAAACAGACAGCAGCCUCCAGCAGCAGGUGGAGGACGAGAAAGCAAGGCUUCUGAUCGGCUUCAGCACCGCCGACAAGAGCUCCAGCAAAAAGAGCAUCUUCAGUCGCCGCAAGUGAAGCUCCUUCACAGAGAUGCUGGUCUUGAAGAAGCGUUGCUGAACCUUACCGAGAUCCAGUCUGCAGGAGAAGGGAUGGAAGAUAACUAAACCAAGUCCGAGGUCUCUCUCCUCUUCACCAGUGGUGCCUUUAAAUGUCCGCGCUGGGUGUGGACGCGCAAGCCAUGACUGCAGGUGCUGGUCCUGCUAUGGAAGAAGGGAUUGUCAUUCUACUGUCUAAAAUGAGUGCUGUACACCUAACAUAAGUUUUAAUGUGCUGCUUUUGUGCCAUACAUCAUUUCAACAUAUUUCAAUUAACUACAUACAGCAUUAAACCAUCUUUAUCAAGUCAAGCUCAAGCUCAAGACAGUGUCCUACAAUUCAACGGUUCAUCUCUGUUUUGUGUUUGGAGCAUUGUGACGUCUCUCCUGCUGGAUCAGGAGAUUCUUGUAGGCCAGAAUCUUGAAGGAGCCACAUGGAAAAGCAAGAAGAAUCUGAAAUUCACAUAUACUGGAAGCCCAUAUUAUCCCACAAUUAGUGAAAGUCACUGAAAAGAAUCAAGAAUUUGGCCUCAUUUGAGCUCAGUGUUAAAUUGGACAUGAUAUUAGCUAGCUGACCACUGUUUUACUGUACUAACUACUAGGAUCUUCUGCUUGUGGAGCAGUGGGGCAUCAUGGGAAGCACCUUGUUUUAUGCCAUAUUUGCACCCUGUCUGAUUGAUGCUUUGUCAUUUUAACUCUAUGGCACUUUUUACACAAAGUAUUUUCUGAUAUUUUUGUAUCUGUGGUUAUCUUCUGUAUCAUUUCAAUAAUGUCUGAGAUGCUGCUGAUUCUAGCUUGUCAGCUUCAAAAAUGAAAGAUUUUAUUA
Sinocyclocheilus grahami is the source of this 1175-nucleotide long non-coding RNA. RefSeq lists it as uncharacterized. The transcript has 3 exons. The record is from RefSeq and is a predicted model, not a curated record. NCBI's taxonomy places the organism in Eukaryota, Metazoa, Chordata, Actinopteri, Cypriniformes, Cyprinidae.